Molecule: ribosomal RNA, 490 nt
Filed under: uncultured bacterium
Lineage: Bacteria
Description: partial 16S ribosomal RNA
Rfam family: Bacterial small subunit ribosomal RNA
Source: RNAcentral
AGUGAACGCUGGCGGUAGGCCUAACACAUGCAAGUCGAACGGCAGCACAGGAGAGCUUGCUCUCUAGGUGGCGAGUGGCGGACGGGUGAGGAAUACAUCGGAAUCUGCCCAGUCGUGGGGGAUAACGUAGGGAAACUUACGCUAAUACCGCAUACGACCUUCGGGUGAAAGAGGGGGAUCGCAAGACCUCUCGCGAUUGGAUGAGCCGAUGUCGGAUUAGCUAGUUGGCGGGGUAAUGGCCCACCAAGGCGACGAUCCGUAGCUGGUCUGAGAGGAUGAUCAGCCACACUGGAACUGAGACACGGUCCAGACUCCUACGGGAGGCAGCAGUGGGGAAUAUUGGACAAUGGGCGCAAGCCUGAUCCAGCCAUACCGCGUGGGUGAAGAAGGCCUUCGGGUUGUAAAGCCCUUUUGUUGGGAAAGAAAUCUUUCAGGCUAAUACCCUGGGAGGAUGACGGUACCCAAAGAAUAAGCACCGGCUAACUUCGUG